UACGUAGGUGGCAAGCGUUGUCCGGAUUUAUUGGGUUUAAAGGGUGCGUAGGCGGCCUAUUAAGUCAGUGCUGAAAUAUCCCGGCUUAACCGGGAGGGUGGCAUUGAUACUGAUGGGCUUGAGUAGAGUCGAGGUAGGCGGAAUUGACGGUGUAGCGGUGAAAUGCUUAGAUAUCGUCAAGAACACCGAUAGUGUAGACAGUUUACUAGACUCAAACUGACGCUGAGGCACGAAAGUGUGGGAUCAAACAGGAUUAGAAACCCCAGUAGUCC
Molecule: ribosomal RNA, 272 nt
Filed under: uncultured bacterium
Lineage: Bacteria
Description: partial 16S ribosomal RNA
Rfam family: Bacterial small subunit ribosomal RNA
Source: RNAcentral